Molecule: transfer RNA, 87 nt
Filed under: Nanosynbacter sp.
Lineage: Bacteria; Bacillati; Minisyncoccota; Nanosynbacteria; Nanosynbacterales; Nanosynbacteraceae
Description: Candidatus Nanosynbacter sp. tRNA-Ser
Rfam family: tRNA
About the family: Transfer RNA (tRNA) molecules are approximately 80 nucleotides in length. Their secondary structure includes four short double-helical elements and three loops (D, anti-codon, and T loops).
Source: RNAcentral
GGAUAGGUGUCUGAGUGGCUUAAAGUACUGGUCUUGAAAACCAGAGGCGGCGAAAGUCGUCCGCGGGUUCGAAUCCCGCUCUAUCCU